Molecule: long non-coding RNA, 237 nt
Organism: Aphis gossypii (cotton aphid)
Lineage: Eukaryota; Metazoa; Arthropoda; Insecta; Hemiptera; Aphididae
Exons: 3
Source: RefSeq, a predicted model, not a curated record
AGGACAGUGACGAUGAAUUGUGUGUUCAAUUGUUGGAAGAGGUCGAAAAUAGUGAAUUAUGUAAAACUAAUGCCAAACAACAGGACAUGCUUGAAAUAGCCCCCAACAUUUUCGUGGAAAAUAAUCCAGCUGAAACGUCUAACAAAAGUAAGCGUGUACACGUUGGCACCACGGUCGGAACAAAAGAAAAAAGAAAAAAAGCGAAACUAAUAGAACCAGCAACUGAAACUUCACUUU